This 488-nucleotide ribosomal RNA is filed under the name uncultured bacterium. RNAcentral's name for it is "bacterial SSU rRNA". It matches the Rfam family "Bacterial small subunit ribosomal RNA", at positions 31 to 518 of the family's 1533-position model. The record is from RNAcentral.
GAACGCUGGCGGCGUGCUAACACAUGCAAGUCGAACGGGUACCCAGACGGAGUUUCGGACAACAGACGGGACUACCUAGUGGCGGACGGGUGAGUAACGCGUGAGGAACCUGCCUUGGAGAGGGGAAUAACACAGAGAAAUUUGUGCUAAUACCGCAUGAUGCAGCUGGACCGCAUGGUCCUGGCUGCCAAAGAUUUAUCGCUCUGAGAUGGCCUCGCGUCUGAUUAGGUAGUUGGCGGGGUAACGGCCCACCAAGCCGACGAUCAGUAGCCGGACUGAGAGGUUGGCCGGCCACAUUGGGACUGAGACACGGCCCAGACUCCUACGGGAGGCAGCAGUGGGGAAUAUUGGGCAAUGGGCGCAAGCCCUGACCCAGCAACGCCGCGUGAAGGAAGAAGGCUUUCGGGUUGUAAACUUCUUUUAUGAGGGACGAAGGAAGUGACGGUACCUCAUGAAUAAGCUCCGGCUAACUACGUGCCAGCAGCCGC